This 696-nucleotide ribosomal RNA is filed under the name uncultured bacterium. RNAcentral describes it as "bacterial SSU rRNA". It matches the Rfam family "Bacterial small subunit ribosomal RNA", at positions 32 to 715 of the family's 1533-position model. The record is from RNAcentral.
AACGCUAGCUACAGGCUUAACACAUGCAAGUCGAGGGGAAACGACAUCGAAAGCUUGCUUUUGAUGGGCGUCGACCGGCGCACGGGUGAGUAACGCGUAUCCAACCUGCCCAUCACUUGGGGAUAACCUUGCGAAAGUAAGACUAAUACCCAAUGAUAUCUCUAGAAGACAUCUGAAGGAGAUUAAAGAUUUAUCGGUGAUGGAUGGGGAUGCGUCUGAUUAGCUUGUUGGCGGGGUAACGGCCCACCAAGGCGACGAUCAGUAGGGGUUCUGAGAGGAAGGUCCCCCACAUUGGAACUGAGACACGGUCCAAACUCCUACGGGAGGCAGCAGUGAGGAAUAUUGGUCAAUGGGCGAGAGCCUGAACCAGCCAAGUAGCGUGCAGGAUGACGGCCCUAUGGGUUGUAAACUGCUUUUAUAAGGGAAUAAAGUGAGUCUCGUGAGGCUUUUUGCAUGUACCUUAUGAAUAAGGACCGGCUAAUUCCGUGCCAGCAGCCGCGGUAAUACGGAAGGUCCGGGCGUUAUCCGGAUUUAUUGGGUUUAAAGGGAGCGUAGGCCGGAGAUUAAGCGUGUCGUGAAAUGUAGAUGCUCAACAUCUGCACUGCAGCGCGAACUGGUUUCCUUGAGUACGCACAAAGUGGGCGGAAUUCGUGGUGUAGCGGUGAAAUGCUUAGAUAUCACGAAGAACUCCGAUUG